AUGGCUUCAAGAAAGGAUAUUCCCGUCCUUAUUGCUUGCCAAGGUCCCAGUGGCCGCGUCACACGAGCUCAAGUUGCUAAUAGUAGUAGAAGAUGUGGAGUGGCUCACCCCGCACUGGUACCCGUGAGAACUGAACAAAAACCGACAGCGAAAGGGAAGACAAAACGGGGAGCUUUGGAUGAGAAUACUUGUGUAAGUGCUGUAGCUUCAGCUCCACACCCUAAAAGGAGAGCAGUGCUCAAGGACGUGACAAACAUAAGCUGUGCAAACUCAUACAGAAAUUGCACUGCUGUGACUAAGCUACAGUUGAGGCCCACCCAAAAGGUAGGACGAAAUCCAAGCAAAAACAAGCAGCGCUCAAAGAAGGUCCCUAAGCCACCUCUUCCUGCUGUUAGUGGAACUUCAUUUGUGAAUGAUUGUCACAACGUUGAAGAAGCUCAGAAGGAAGAGCUUUCACCACCAAAGGAGGAGCCCACUGCUUUGCUUGAAAACAAAGGGUCGUUGUUGCAGAAUACUGAAUGGAACAGGGAGAGUGGUUUUCAUGAGGCAUUCUUUCACGGAAGGACCACAGGAGAUAAAUUUGAAACUGCUAACUCAAACACUGGGGACUAUGCUGGUUUAAACAUUAUAGAUAUUGACAAAGAUAAUGGCAAUCCGCAAAUGUGUAUUUCCUAUGCUGCAGAGAUAUACACAAACCUAAUGGCUGCAGAGCUUAUAAGAAGGCCUAAAUCAAAUUACAUGGAGACUUUGCAAAGGGAUAUUACAAAAGGCAUGCGAGGAAUCCUCAUUGAUUGGCUUGUUGAGGUUGCUGAAGAGUAUAAACUUGUGCCAGACACGCUGUACCUAACUGUAUACCUUAUCGAUCAAUUUCUUUCUUGGAAAUAUAUUGAAAGACAGAAAUUGCAACUUCUUGGAAUAACUAGCAUGUUGAUUGCCUCAAAAUAUGAAGAGAUCUGUGCACCACGUGUUGAAGAAUUUUGUUUCAUAACUGAUAAUACAUAUACAAAAGACCAGGUGCUGAAAAUGGAGUGCCAAGUGCUUAAUGGUCUGGGAUAUAAUCUUUCUGUUCCCACAAUCAAAACAUUUCUCAGGAGAUUUCUUAGAGCAGCGCAGGCUUCUCACAAAGCUCCUUCUGUAACUCUGGGUUAUCUGGCCAAUUAUCUUGCGGAGUUGACUUUGACCAAUUACAAUUUCCUGAGGUUUCUCCCUUCAGUGGUGGCAGCCUCGGUAGUCUUUCUUGCCAGAUGGACACUUGACCAAUCAGAUCUCCCAUGGAACUGUACUCUGGAGCAUUACACCUCAUACAAAAGUUCUGAUAUUCAAAUAUGUGUAUGCGCUCUAUGGGAACUUCAGGGCAACACCAACCGAUGCCCCCUUAAUGCCAUACGUGAAAAGUAUCCGCACAAAAAGUUUUAUUUCUCGUUGCAGUUUGAAUGUGUAGCCAACAUGUUGUCGCCGGAGCUGGCUCAGUCGCUCUUUAGUAGACAAGCUAACGACACCAAUCCCCUGCUGAUCAAUGACUCUUAG
RNAcentral lists this ribosomal RNA (1527 nucleotides) under Triticum aestivum (bread wheat). RNAcentral's name for it is "partial small subunit ribosomal RNA". Lineage: Eukaryota; Viridiplantae; Streptophyta; Magnoliopsida; Poales; Poaceae. The record is from RNAcentral.